ACAGGCACCACAGGACUUUGGCUGGGCUCACUCAAGAAAACAUACUGGAAGCCAGGUGUCCCCUGGAGUGCCACGAUCGCGGGCGCCCCCUCGGGCUGUCCAAUGCAAAAAGUUACCUGGUGGAGGCGUCUCUGCAACUAACUUCUCCCUCUUGGGAGCCUUCUUGGGCUUGAUGGCCUUCUUGGGAGUCCUAGGGCCCUGCUGGUGCGGCUCCUGCGGUUCCUGCUCCUCCACCCUAAGGUCCUCAUGCAGUGAAGGCGAGAAGAGCUCCGGCUCCGACUCAGGCUCAGGCUCCGGAUGCCCAUAAUAGCGCCCGCGCCUCCAGAGCUCCUGGCUGUAAUAGUCAGGCUCCUCGAAGGCUGCGCCCUGGGCUCUGACUCCAGCCAGGGCCACCGCCACAAGUGCCAGCGCCAGCGCCAGCGCCAGCGCAGGGCAGGCGGUCCCCAGACGGGCCAUGCCCUCUCUGCCCCGCACCCCGGAACAAAUCUGAGUUAAGACCGGCCUGAAAUGCUAAGGUGAUAACCACCAGGCUGCCCUCCAGUCUUGUUGCCCCAGCCCAAGGAGAAACCCCAGAUUCCCUAGAUGAAGUUCCCUGGGAGCAGGGCCAAAGGGUCUGGGGACUCCUGCUGCCUACCCUCCAGAGUGUGGUUCUGUAGGAGAGAUUGGAGCCAGCCGAAGACCACUAUCUCAUAAGUUACAAGAGGGCAUUUGUCUCUUCCAAGUAUCCAGGUUUCUCUGGAGAACCCUGAUGUCACUUCCCUUUGAUAAAGUGCCUCCCACCGUUACCC
Molecule: long non-coding RNA, 788 nt
Filed under: Mus pahari (shrew mouse)
Lineage: Eukaryota; Metazoa; Chordata; Mammalia; Rodentia; Muridae
Description: predicted gene 15677 (MGP_PahariEiJ_G0002219.1)
Source: RNAcentral